RNAcentral lists this unclassified non-coding RNA (324 nucleotides) under Hevea brasiliensis (rubber tree). The record is from RNAcentral. Lineage: Eukaryota; Viridiplantae; Streptophyta; Magnoliopsida; Malpighiales; Euphorbiaceae.
AGAAUUCAUAUUGCUGACAAACCUGCAAGACAACAAUAAAUAAAUAAUUUGAAAGAAAACUUACGUAUACAAGUUAAAUCAAAUCAGUAUUGCACAUUUUAGCAAAGAGAAGAAAUUGCUACCAGUAAAACACUGGGGAGUAUAAAGGGGAAGAGUUUUUCAGUAACCAGCACACUACUCAUGGAUCAUCAGUAGUCAUGGAUGCCUUCGCAAGCAUCAGGGCAGGAGGGAACCAGCUCAAGAAAACAUGCAUGCUGGUCUCACUUACUUUCCAUUAAGACACAAGAAAAAAAACUACAGUAUUUUUUCUUUGCACUGACUGAA